CACUCACACACGCACAUGCAUGCACACACACAGGUUACUGUGAGGAGAUGAAUAUGUUUCUCACUUUAGUAAUCAUUUUACUGUGUGUGUAUACACGUUAAAGACCAAGUACAUUUUAAAUAUAUACAGUGUUUAUUUAAAAAUAAAAUUGACUAUCUAAAAAGAAACUUUAUAAUUGAGAAUUUAAAAAGCGAUAGCAUGAAAAAUGAAAUUGCCAUACUAGACACCAAAAUGAGAUAUCCUCAGGGGAAGACAUUAUUUACUACAAAAAUAGUGGAGCAAACAGUGCUUCAAGAAUUUAUACUUGGUAAGUUAUCACUUCAGGCCAGCCUGGGAAUGCAUCAGACACUAGUCGGUAUUGAGAUGUAGAAAGAGGAGGGAUAUUCUGAAAACUAGUACGAAAUGAGUAAAAAAGCAUAGAAUCAGAAAAAUAAAACAGUUAUUCAGUAGACAUAGUGAGGACCAGAAAUUUUCAGGGAUGAGAGAUUGGGGUGUAAUUCCAUGAAAGUAGAUUGAGAUCAGUUUGGGAAGAACCUUGAGUGCCAGGCUGAGGGGACUUGACAUAAGUAUAGAUUUUUAAAAAUCUUCUUGGAAGGACAUCAGACAGCUGUAGAAGCAAAAUACAAAAAUUUCAGAGAGCUAGGAGCCCUUCCUCAGUGAGUCGAUAUGGCCAGCCAUUUACUUCUCUGGGAACACUUGUCAAGUCCUAGGCCUGUGCUGAGGAUUGAGCUUGGCAUAAGCAGAUAAACUCUAGUAGAGGAAAAAGAAAGCAGUUGAACACUUGAAUUUGGGCUGAUAGGACUAAUUGAAAUCUAGAAGAGCCCCAGAUACAUGGCUGGUUUUCAAUGUGAGACAUUCACUGAGAGUUUGUAGGGGAGGGGGCAUGGUGUGCUGGGAGACUGGGCCAGAAAAAUUCCAGAGGAAUAUCCCACAGUCUUUUUUGGGAGUAAAUGCUUAGGAGACAAAGCUCCACUAGAAUGAGGGCCUUACUACAAACACACCUUGAGUCUUGCUCUUGAGACAUUUGAAACUCGAGUAAGACUAUGUCUAACUGAAGGUGCCAUUGAGCACUGAUCUAGCUCAGAUUCUGGUAAGAAUGAGGUGAUCUCCCCCAUAUUCUAACAUAGGAAAGAGUAAACUGUCUCCUGUUGAAAAUAACAUUGAUUUUAGUUUUUAUGAUUCUCUUAUACACAACAUCCAGCACAUAGUAAAAUGUUAUGAGGCCUAUGAAGAAUCAGGAGAUAUUUGAAGAGAUAAUGGUCAAGACUUUUCCAAAAUUGAAAGAAUCAGCCCACAGAUUCAGGAAGCUCAGCAAACUCCAAAAUAAACACAUAGAAAACCAUCCUAGACAACUAUUGUCAAACUUCUGAAAACCAAGUAAAGAUAAAUUCUUAAAAGUAGCAAGUGAAAAACUAUUCAUUAUCUACAAAAAGAAAAAGUUAUAUCUGACUUUUAAACAGAAUGAUACAUGACUUUUCAACACAAACUAUGGAAGUUAAAUGACAAUGAUAUGACACUUUAAAAGUGCUGAAGGUGUGAGAAGGGUCUAGAAUUUUAAAGCCAGCAAACCUGAGAAUUGUGUAUCUAGUAAAAAUAGCCUUGAAAAGUUAAAGCCAAGUAAAAAUGUUUUCAGACAAAAAAAGAAAAAGCUGAGAUACCUACUACAGAAAGUAUUAAAGGACAUUCUUCAGUUAAAAGGAAACUUAUUCCAGAGAGAAGCAUGAAAUGCAGGAAGGGAUGAAGCACACAUAAAGGGUAAAUAUGUGGGUAAAUUUAAAAUAAUAUUGACAACUUAAAAUUACUAUAUUAUGUUUUUACACAAAUAUAGAAGUAAAGUAUGUUAGAACAGUAGUACAAAAGGCAAGAGGAUUUAAAUAGAAUUAAAUUGCUUACAGGUUCUUCCAUGCUAGAAAUGGCAAAAAUAUCCAUUUACGUUUGAGCCAGAAAAAUCUCAAAAUAAGUCAAACAUUCAUUUUUUAUUUUUAAAAUAUAGAAAAAAUUCUAAUAGUAAAGUGGAAUAAUACAAAUGCCAUUUAUUAAUACAAAAGAAGGCAGGAAAUAAGGGUUAUUGGAACAAAGGAGGGAAAAAUCAAAAGCAAAUAGCAAUACAGUCAACUUAAGCCCAGCUAGAUCAUUACAUUAAGUGUAAAUGAACAAAAUAUUGUGAUUAAAACUCAAAGAUUGAUUUUUCACACAUUAAAAGAUAUUUUUAAAAAAUGCCAAUAAGUUACAAGUUACAUAAAAUGGAUAAAUUUUUUGAAAAAUACAAUUUAACAAAAGUAACUCAAGAAGAAAUAAAAAGUCAAAAUAGCCCUAUAUCUGUAAAGGAAAUUGAAUUUGUAGAAUUCAAGGUGUAAUUUUAAACCUCGCCUUAAAGAAAUCCAGAAUUUUCAGAUUCUGUGUAAGAUGCAGAAGGCCAGAAAGAUUAUAUUCCCAACAUAAGAAUAAGAAAAAGGCAGCUAAUCUACAAAAUCAUAAAUGUGUAUGAAUCCUUUAGAAAGCUGAGAUCACACGUUAACCAAUUAGCCUGACAUUUAAUGAAAAAAAACUUCCACCCAGUUGAGACAGGAGACAAGCACUGUUUCACCCAAAGCUGGGCAUGGAAUGAAGACGAGCUGUUACACAAGUGUAUCAAAUAAUUUACAUAUUAUUUGCUAAAGACUUGAGUGUGAGCUACUGUGAGAGCAUAGAAGCUCUGAGAACUUCAGACACUAAAGGGGGAGUUCAAAACUACUCGUAGACUGUUCCCUAUGGAGUUCACUGUGUGAUCAUCAGAAGAUUGGGAGAAAGGCUGGAGACCACAGAAAAUUUCCUUCAUAGUGCAGGCUUAGGCCGGGCGCGGUGGCUCAAGCCUGUAAUCCCAGCACUUUGGGAGGCCAAGACGGGUGGAUCACGAGGUCAGGAGAUCGAGACCAUCCUGGCUAACACGGUGAAACCCCAUCUCUACUAAAAAAUACAAAAAAACUAGCCAGGCGAGGGUGGCGAGCCUGUAGUCCCAGCUACUCAGGAGGCUGAGGCAGGAGAAUGGCGUAAACCCAGGAGGUGGGGCUUGCAGUGAGCUGAGAUCCGGCCACUGCACCCCAGCCUGGGCGACAGAGCAAGACUCCGUCUCAAAAAAAAAAAAAAAAAA
RNAcentral lists this long non-coding RNA (3130 nucleotides) under Macaca fascicularis (crab-eating macaque). RNAcentral's name for it is "lncRNA (ENSMFAG00000061787.1)". Lineage: Eukaryota; Metazoa; Chordata; Mammalia; Primates; Cercopithecidae. The record is from RNAcentral.